This 2342-nucleotide long non-coding RNA is filed under the name Salmo salar (Atlantic salmon). RNAcentral describes it as "lncRNA (ENSSSAG00000083009.1)". The record is from RNAcentral. Lineage: Eukaryota; Metazoa; Chordata; Actinopteri; Salmoniformes; Salmonidae.
UUUCUAUACUGGCGCCACCUGUUAAUGUCUCAUUCUGGAAGCAAUCGGUAGAUUGUGUGCCAGAAAUAAUUUGGAUCACUCUUUUUCCUCCAGUCUUCUUUUUUUGGAAAAACCUAGCUAUCGACAUUUGGUUUGCCAUUGCUGGAACUACUAAAUUACCUUAGCUGAUGUAUUACAUGGUCUGUCACGCGGCCUUAUGGACUCUGCUGGUACUGCUCUUGGCCAUCUCGGGGUGCACCUUGGCAAGUGCCUAAAAGAGUGUGUGUGAACAAAUCUCACUCAUUGUUACCUGCAUCAACAAAAACCUGACAGAGGUUCCUCUCACAAUGAGAUCACAGUGAAGCUGGAUCUGAGAGGCAACAACAUCCAGGAGCUGCCAUCAGGUGCGUUCAAACGCAUGCCAUACCUGAUGCACCUGUCCAUGCAGCGCAGCAACAUCCACACCAUAAAGGAGGGGGCGUUCCCUGCUCUGGGCCGCCUCGUCUUCCUCAACCUGGCCAACAACAACAUCGAGAUCCACUAUCAGGAGGCGUUCGACGGUCUCUCCUCGCUGAAGCAGCUAAUGAUUGACCACAACCCGGUGGAGGAGAUCCAGCCAGAGAUCUUCUCUCAGCUGGGCUUCCUCAACUUGCUUUCCCUUGCCCACAACCAGCUCACCAACAACCCCAACAUGGCUGAUGGGGAUCUGCGGGGGACCGACUCACUUCUCUGGGGAGAACCUGGAGGCCAUCCACUUCCUGGACCUGCGCUGCCAGAGCCAGGAGGCCAUGCUAAAGGCUGAGUUUGAGGAGCAGACAAGGGGGAUUCCAACCCCCACCCCCCGAGCCCACCGACAAUGUCAAGUGUCCCGCCAACUGUGCCUGCAAGGUUGAGACACACCACUCCUCUGAGAACUGCGGCCACACCAAAGUCCCCCACGGCUUCUCCCCCAACACACGCCUCCUCAACCUGCGAGGCCUCCGGUUCAAGCUGCUACAUGGCCUGCUCGCCCUUCACAUGGAGAACAAUUCCAUCGCCAAGCUGUAGCCAGGGAUUCUGACUGGGGAUGAGAAGUUGAGCGGGCUCUAUCUGAGGUGGUGCCCAGUGAUGCGUUAGCAAAGACGGGCAACCUGGGAGCAUUACAGCCGUCGGGGAAUCCCAUUUGCUGGAGUGGGCCGCAUGUUUUCCAGCUAUUGGCUAGGGCACUGAAGGAUCUGUAUCUGGAUGGCAUGGGAUUGGAGAAGAUGUCUAAGGACUCUGGCAGGACUGAGUGCUGGUCUUAGGAGUCUCUACCUGGAGAGGAUCCAGCUGGAGGAGGUGCCCGACUUCAACCCUCUGAUCGGCCUGGAUGUCAUCAACCUGGCAGAGAACCCUCUUCUGCCCCUUGCUGCCGCUACGCAUGUACGACUUACACACGUUAUGCUCGCUCUUUCAUACACUCACUCUGACACAUGCUUGAAAACUCCCCCUCUCUCAUGUAUACACUCAGAUACAUGCUCUAACCCACUCAUGUUCACUCUUUCAUACAAACAUGUAUUAAUUGCCUACAGUACCAGUCAAAGGUUUGGACACACCUACUCAUUCCAGUCUAUUUUUUCCCCUUAUUUUUUAGACAUUGUAGAAUAGUGAAGGCUAUGAAAAAAAAAAGUUGAAAUAACACAUAUGUUAUCAUGUAGUAACCAAAAAAGUGUCAAACAAAUCAAAAUAUAUUUUAGAUUCUUUAAAGUAGCCACCCUUUGCCAUGAUGACAUCUUUGCACACUCUUAGCAUUCUCUCAACCAGCUUCAUCCAGGCUGCACCACAUCCGGCUGUGAUCGGGAGUCCCAUAGGGCGACGCACAAUUGGCCCAGCGUCUUCCGGGUUUGGCCGGGGUAGGCCGUCAUUGUAAAUAAGAAUUUGUUCUUAACUGACUAGCCUAGUUAAAUAAAUAAUUAGGUAGUCACCUGGAAUGCAUUUCAAUGAACAGGUGUGCCUUGUUAAAAGUUCAUUUGUGUAAUUUCUUUCCUCCUUAAUGCAUUUGAGCAAAUCAGUUGUGUUGUGACAAGGUAGGGGUGGUAUACAGAAGAUAGCCCUAUUUGGUCAAAGACCAAGUCCAUAUUAUGGCAAGAACAGCUCAAAUAAGCAAAGACAAAUGACAGUCCAUUACUUUAAGACAUGAAAGUCAGUCAUUGUGGAAAAUGUCAAGUUUCUUCAAGUGUAUUCGCGUAAACCAUCAAGCGCUAUGAUGAAACUGGCUCUCAUGAGGACCGCCACAGAAAAGGAAGACCCAGAGUUACCUUUGCUGGAGAGGAUAAGUUCAUUAGAGUUAACAGCCUCAGAAAUUGAAGUAAUGUGGUAUACUGCUGAAUUUCAUUUCAUUUUUG